AGUUUGCCAUGCUGUGGCCUCUGUCAUAAAGACAAGCUUUUCUGCCUGAGAAGCUUCCUUGAUAGCUGACCACCCACAGCUCUUGUCCGAACCUCGCAAACCAGUCACGUGACUGCUCCAGCAAAUUGGCUGCAGCUCCCCAGCUGAGAGCGAAAUGCCUUGAAAAUUAGCUGCUUCUCAGGAUGCAGAAGAAAACUCAACUCUAUUAUUGGAGCAUAACAUUAGAAAGAGAAAUAACAGAUCGUGGUCCCUGACACAGACAGGAGUUCAUCCACCAGGUUCACGCCAUCUUUCUGGAGGACAGCGGAUGUUUUGUUAAAUGUGACUCGCCAAAAGACCUUGACA
Long non-coding RNA from Equus quagga, 345 nucleotides. RefSeq lists it as uncharacterized. The transcript is spliced from 3 exons. Lineage: Eukaryota; Metazoa; Chordata; Mammalia; Perissodactyla; Equidae. The record is from RefSeq and is a predicted model, not a curated record.